This is a non-coding RNA of Schizosaccharomyces pombe (fission yeast), 402 nucleotides long. NCBI's taxonomy places the organism in Eukaryota, Fungi, Ascomycota, Schizosaccharomycetes, Schizosaccharomycetales, Schizosaccharomycetaceae. The record is from the annotation of a GenBank genome assembly.
GAUCAUUCGUCCUGCCAACCGAGUGGAAGUAAUGAGCGGGGUUGUGACAACGUAUCAAAGCAUAAUGCUUUGGGUGUAAUAGGCUCAUACCCCAAAACCCCAUGUAACACGCCAUCAUGAAGGAACCCCACUCUAUAACGUGGUCACCAUGGAUUUUCUUGCCCACUAACCGAGGAAAACCCUCCGAUGCAAAGGAUAAGGUAUAGGGGAGUAAGGUAGAGAGGAAUAGUUGGAAGUGGGUGGUUGGUAGGUAGGAGAAUCGAUUGAUCGAUUGAUCGAUCGAUCGACAAAAAUGUUCAUACAACGGUCGCCUUUUUUUUUUCUUUUCAUGUAAACAAUGUUCAAACUAUCACCUUUUCGUUUAACCCUGUCUUGCCCUACCUUUAUUGAUUAUUUUUCUUA